Molecule: ribosomal RNA, 253 nt
Filed under: uncultured bacterium
Lineage: Bacteria
Description: partial 16S ribosomal RNA
Rfam family: Bacterial small subunit ribosomal RNA
Source: RNAcentral
UACGUAGGGUGCAAGCGUUAAUCGGAAUUAUUGGGCGUAAAGAGCGUGUAGGCGGCCCGAUUAGUCCGCUGUGAAAGUCCAGGGCUCAACCCUGGAAUGCCGGUGGAUACUGUCGGGCUAGAGUCCGGAAGGGGCGAGUGGAAUUCCUGGUGUAGCGGUGAAAUGCGCAGAUAUCAGGAGGAACACCAAUGGCGAAGGCAGCUCGCUGGGACGUGACUGACGCUGAGACGCGAAAGCGUGGGGAGCAAACAGG